RNAcentral lists this ribosomal RNA (492 nucleotides) under uncultured bacterium. RNAcentral's name for it is "partial 16S ribosomal RNA". It matches the Rfam family "Bacterial small subunit ribosomal RNA", at positions 29 to 507 of the family's 1533-position model. The record is from RNAcentral.
AGUGAACGCUGGCGGUAGGCCUAACACAUGCGAGUCGAACGGCAGCACAGUAAGAGCUUGCUCUUACGGGUGGCGAGUGGCGGACGGGUGAGGAAUACAUCGGAAUCUACUUUUUCGUGGGGGAUAACGUAGGGAAACUUACGCUAAUACCGCAUACGACCUACGGGUGAAAGCAGGGGAUCUUCGGACCUUGCGCGAUUGAAUGAGCCGAUGUCGGAUUAGCUAGUUGGCGGGGUAAAGGCCCACCAAGGCGACGAUCCGUAGCUGGUCUGAGAGGAUGAUCAGCCACACUGGAACUGAGACACGGUCCAGACUCCUACGGGAGGCAGCAGUGGGGAAUAUUGGACAAUGGGCGCAAGCCUGAUCCAGCCAUGCCGCGUGUGUGAAGAAGGCCUUCGGGUUGUAAAGCCCUUUUGUUGGGAAGGAAAAGCAGCAGGUUAAUACCCCGCUGUUCUGACGGUACCCAAAGAAUAAGCACCGGCUAACUUCGUG